AUUGAACGCUGGCGGCAUGCCCUACACAUGCAAGUCGAACGGCAGCACGGGGGCAACCCUGGUGGCGAGUGGCGAACGGGUGAGUAACAUAUCGGAACAUACCCUAGAGUGGGGGAUAACGUAGCGAAAGUUACGCUAAUACCGCAUACGAUCUAAGGAUGAAAGUGGGGGAUCUUCGGACCUCAUGCUCAUGGAGUGGCCGAUAUCUGAUUAGCUAGUUGGUGAGGUAAAGGCUCACCAAGGCGACGAUCAGUAGCUGGUUUGAGAGAACGACCAGCCACACUGGAACUGAGACACGGUCCAGACUCCUACGGAGGCAGCAGUGGGGAAUUUUGGACAAUGGGGGCAACCCUGAUCCAGCAAUGCCGCGUGAGUGAAGAAGGCCUUCGGGUUGUAAAGCGUCUUUUGUUCUAGGGAAGAGACGGUGA
RNAcentral lists this ribosomal RNA (428 nucleotides) under uncultured bacterium. Its description in RNAcentral is "bacterial SSU rRNA". It matches the Rfam family "Bacterial small subunit ribosomal RNA", at positions 30 to 456 of the family's 1533-position model. The record is from RNAcentral.